UUAAGCGACUAAGCGUACACGGUGGAUGCCUAGGCAAUCAGAGGCGAUGAAGGACGUGCUAAUCUGCGAAAAGCGUCGGUAAGGUGAUAUGAACCGUUAUAACCGACGAUGUCCGAAUGGGGAAACCCAGUGCAAUUCGUUGCACUAUCGUUUGAUGAAUCCAUAGUCAAACGAAGCGAACCGGGGGAACUGAAACAUCUCAGUACCCCGAGGAAAAGAAAUCAACCGAGAUUCCCCUAGUAGCGGCGAGCGAACGGGGAGCAGCCCAGAGUCUUAAUCAGCAUCAGCAUCAGGAGAACGGUCUGGAAAGGCCGGCAAUAAAGGGUGAUAGCCCCGUAUCCGAAGGUGUUGGUGUUGUGAACUCGAUGAGUAGGGCGGGACACGUGUUAUCCUGUCUGAAUAUGGGGGGACCAUCCUCCAAGGCUAAAUACUCCUGAUUGACCGAUAGUGAACCAGUACCGUGAGGGAAAGGCGAAAAGAACCCCGGCGAGGGGAGUGAAAUAGAACCUGAAACCGUGUACGUACAAGCAGUGGGAGCCUUGAUUUAUCAGGGUGACUGCGUACCUUUUGUAUAAUGGGUCAGCGACUUAUAUUCUGUAGCAAGGUUAACCGAAUAGGGGAGCCGUAGGGAAACCGAGUCUUAACUGGGCGAAUGAGUUGCAGGGUAUAGACCCGAAACCCGGUGAUCUAGCCAUGGGCAGGUUGAAGGUUGGGUAACACUAACUGGAGGACCGAACCGACUAAUGUUGAAAAAUUAGCGGAUGACUUGUGGCUGGGGGUGAAAGGCCAAUCAAACCGGGAGAUAGCUGGUUCUCCCCGAAAGCUAUUUAGGUAGCGCCUCGUGAACUCAUCUUCGGGGGUAGAGCACUGUUUCGGCUAGGGGGUCAUCCCGACUUACCAACCCGAUGCAAACUACGAAUACCGAAGAAUGUUAUCACGGGAGACACACGGCGGGUGCUAACGUUCGUCGUGAAGAGGGAAACAACCCAGACCGCCAGCUAAGGUCCCAAAGUCAUGGUUAAGUGGGAAACGAAGUGGGAAGGCUCAGACAGCCAGGAUGUUGGCUUAGAAGCAGCCAUCAUUUAAAGAAAGCGUAAUAGCUCACUGGUCGAGUCGGCCUGCGCGGAAGAUGUAACGGGGCUAAACCAUGCACCGAAGCUGCGGCAGCGACAUGUAAAUGUUGUUGGGUAGGGGAGCGUUCUGUAAGCCUGUGAAGGUGUGCUGCGAGGCAUGCUGGAGGUAUCAGAAGUGCGAAUGCUGACAUAAGUAACGAUAAUGCGGGUGAAAAACCCGCACGCCGGAAGACCAAGGGUUCCUGUCCAACGUUAAUCGGGGCAGGGUGAGUCGACCCCUAAGGCGAGGCAGAAAUGCGUAGUCGAUGGGAAACAGGUUAAUAUUCCUGUACUGGUGAUAAUUGCGAUGGGGGGACGGAGAAGGCUAGGCUGGCCGGGCGACGGUUGUCCCGGUUUAAGGAUGUAGGUGGGCGAAUUAGGCAAAUCCGGUUCGCUAUACACUGAGGUCUGAUGACGAGUCACUACGGUGGCGAAGUAGCUCAUGCCCCGCUUCCAGGAAAAGCCUCUAAGCUCUAGAUUAUCAUUAAUCGUACCCCAAACCGACACAGGUGGUCAGGUAGAGAAUACUCAGGCGCUUGAGAGAACUCGGGUGAAGGAACUAGGCAAAAUGGUGCCGUAACUUCGGGAGAAGGCACGCUGGCACUAGGUGAAGUCCCUUGCGGAUGGAGCUGAAGCCAGUCGCAGAUACCAGCUGGCUGCAACUGUUUAUUAAAAACACAGCACUGUGCAAACACGAAAGUGGACGUAUACGGUGUGACGCCUGCCCGGUGCUGGAAGGUUAAUUGAUGGGGUUAUCCGUAAGGAGAAGCUCUUGAUCGAAGCCCCAGUAAACGGCGGCCGUAACUAUAACGGUCCUAAGGUAGCGAAAUUCCUUGUCGGGUAAGUUCCGACCUGCACGAAUGGCGUAAUGAUGGCCAGGCUGUCUCCACCCGAGACUCAGUGAAAUUGAACUCGCUGUGAAGAUGCAGUGUACCCGCGGCAAGACGGAAAGACCCCGUGAACCUUUACUAUAGCUUGACACUGAACAUUGAGCCUUGAUGUGUAGGAUAGGUGGGAGGCUUUGAAGUGUGGACGCCAGUCUGCAUGGAGCCAACCUUGAAAUACCACCCUUUAAUGUUUGAUGUUCUAACGUUGCCCCGUGAUCCGGGGUGCGGACAGUGUCUGGUGGGUAGUUUGACUGGGGCGGUCUCCUCCCAAAGCGUAACGGAGGAGCACGAAGGUUGGCUAAGCAUGGUCGGACAUCAUGCGGUUAGUGCAAAGGCAUAAGCCAGCUUGACUGCGAGAGUGACGGCUCGAGCAGGUACGAAAGUAGGUCUUAGUGAUCCGGUGGUUCUGAAUGGAAGGGCCAUCGCUCAACGGAUAAAAGGUACUCCGGGGAUAACAGGCUGAUACCGCCCAAGAGUUCAUAUCGACGGCGGUGUUUGGCACCUCGAUGUCGGCUCAUCACAUCCUGGGGCUGAAGUAGGUCCCAAGGGUAUGGCUGUUCGCCAUUUAAAGUGGUACGCGAGCUGGGUUUAGAACGUCGUGAGACAGUUCGGUCCCUAUCUGCCGUGGGCGUUGGAAGAUUGAAAGGGGCUGCUCCUAGUACGAGAGGACCGGAGUGGACGCACCGCUGGUGUUCGGGUUGUCAUGCCAAUGGCACUGCCCGGUAGCUAAGUGCGGAAGAGAUAACCGCUGAAAGCAUCUAAGCGGGAAACUUGCCUUGAGAUGAGUCUUCCCUGACUCUUUAAGGGUCCUAAAGGAACGUUUAAGACGAAGACGUUGAUAGGCUGGGUGUGUAAGCGUAGCGAUACGUUGAGCUAACCAGUACUAAUGAACCGUGAGGCUUAACCUG
RNAcentral lists this ribosomal RNA (2907 nucleotides) under Providencia stuartii. RNAcentral's name for it is "bacterial LSU rRNA". It matches the Rfam family "Bacterial large subunit ribosomal RNA". The record is from RNAcentral. Lineage: Bacteria; Pseudomonadati; Pseudomonadota; Gammaproteobacteria; Enterobacterales; Morganellaceae.